CAGGUCAGCAUACUGCCGUGAAUACGUUCCCGGGCCCUUGUACACACCGCCCGUCACACCAUGAGAGUUGGGAAUACCCGAAGCCUGUGAGCUAACUUAUAGAGGCAGCAGUCGAAGGUAGAGCCAAUGAUUGGGGUAAAGUCGUAACAAGGUACC
RNAcentral lists this ribosomal RNA (156 nucleotides) under uncultured bacterium. Its description in RNAcentral is "partial 16S ribosomal RNA". It matches the Rfam family "Bacterial small subunit ribosomal RNA", at positions 1345 to 1500 of the family's 1533-position model. The record is from RNAcentral.